Long non-coding RNA from Platichthys flesus (European flounder), 844 nucleotides. RefSeq lists it as uncharacterized. Lineage: Eukaryota; Metazoa; Chordata; Actinopteri; Pleuronectiformes; Pleuronectidae. The transcript is spliced from 5 exons. The record is from RefSeq and is a predicted model, not a curated record.
GGUACCGGAGCGGCCACUGAGCGGCGCCGCAGCCCGCAACUUCCACCGCCUGACAUCCGCCGCUUCCUCCCCGCUGCACGCUGCAGGCCAACCCGCUGCCUCGCCGCCCGGGUCGGGUUACAGCCACCAGGCCAGCCUCCCUCCGCCCUCCCCGACUGAAGCCCGACUUCUGGGGAGAUAGUAUUACAGGCUCACAGCUGAUCCACCCGCUGGUACACCAUUGAGACAGGGGAGGUUAAAGCACUCUGAACGCAUGGAACCAUAUUGCAGAUGCGCACAGGCUGUAAUGAAGAGCUCUUGAACUCGCGGUGAGAGAAGCUGUGACAGGAGUUCACGAGGAUUCCUCUUUGGUUCUGCUGGACAUUUAAAAGGACUGAUCCCUGCUGAACUGCCACAUCUUUAACUGGAGUCUGAGUAACAACACAGAAAUCUGAAAAUGCUCCACUGCAAGUUAAAGUCCUACUUACAGAGAUUUAUGUUGUGAUCAGUAUCAGCUCGUGGCUUCCAGCGUGUCUCUCUGUGACAGAUGCUUCCUCCCGCACCGCCACACCUGACCGCUCGCCUCCUCUCCACACAGAUGAUAUCACACCGCUGACGGAGGCGAGGGUCCCAGAAGGCUCCGCUCUACAGUGGAAACAUGUCAUCUGACCAUGUCAGCCGGCUCAACCCAAAUAUUGUGCGUUGUUUGUAAAGAGAGGUCAGGCGACUUGUGAGCCGGGUAUUUCAGGCCCCGCUCUCUCUUAAUGAAGUAUUCAUGAAGCAGCCAGUGGGAGCAGAGUAUAGCCUUACACGACACUGGUGGUUCCGACGGACUCCCCCUCCUCCUCCACUCCCCCCUCAUGUG